This 89-nucleotide transfer RNA is filed under the name Candidatus Poribacteria bacterium. Its description in RNAcentral is "tRNA-Leu". It matches the Rfam family "tRNA". From Rfam's summary of the family: Transfer RNA (tRNA) molecules are approximately 80 nucleotides in length. Their secondary structure includes four short double-helical elements and three loops (D, anti-codon, and T loops). Further hydrogen bonds mediate the characteristic L-shaped molecular structure. tRNAs have two regions of fundamental functional importance: the anti-codon, which is responsible for specific mRNA codon recognition, and the 3' end, to which the tRNAs corresponding amino acid is attached (by aminoacyl-tRNA synthetases). tRNAs cope with the degeneracy of the genetic code in two manners: having more than one tRNA (with a specific anti-codon) for a particular amino acid; and 'wobble' base-pairing, i.e. permitting non-standard base-pairing at the 3rd anti-codon position. Lineage: Bacteria; Candidatus Poribacteria. The record is from RNAcentral.
GGGCGAGUGGUGGAAUUGGUAGACACGCCGGACUUAAAAUCCGUCGCUCCGAAAGGAGCGUGAGGGUUCGAGUCCCUCCUCGCCCACCA